AUACGUAGGGGGCGAGCGUUGUCCGGAAUGAUUGGGCGUAAAGGGCGCGUAGGCGGCCCGGUAAGUCUGGAGUGAAAGUCCUGUUUUUAAGAUGGGAAUUGCUUUGGAUACUGUCGGGCUUGAGUGCAGGAGAGGUACGUGGAAUUCCCAGUGUCGCGGUGAAAUGCGUAGAGAUUGGGAGGAACACCAGUGGCGAAGGCGACUUACUGGACUGUAACUGACGCUGAGGCGCGAAAGUGUGGGGAGCAAACAGGAUUAGAUACCCUGGUAGUCCACACUGUAAACGAUGAAUGCUAGGUGUAGGGGGUAUCGACCCCUUCUGUGCCGCAGUCAACACAAUAAGCAUUCCGCCUGGGGAGUACGGCCGCAAGGUUGAAACUCAAAGGAAUUGACGGGG
This 397-nucleotide ribosomal RNA is filed under the name uncultured bacterium. RNAcentral describes it as "partial 16S ribosomal RNA". It matches the Rfam family "Bacterial small subunit ribosomal RNA", at positions 523 to 918 of the family's 1533-position model. The record is from RNAcentral.